CUACAAGCCUGGAGCUGCUGAUGGCGAUUUUUGCCAGUACUCGGGAAGAGCUGGCCUGAGAAUAAAGGCAAUACAAAGAGAAGCAGAGCCUACAGAGGGUCAGGGCCGAGGGCCUCCUGGAGGAGGUGAAAUCUGGAGGAUAAAUAGGAGUAAUAAAUGGACAAUUCUUCUCCUGAUGAGCUCUGGAAGAUCUGCUUAUCAUGGCCCAGUAAUGCUGAGCUAAUCUGGAAAGAUUUGGUUUCUGAAAUGUCAGAAUGGAGAGCCAACCUGCAAAUCAUGAUGACCAGUGACCGACAGAAGGAAAGGUCAAACUCGUAAAUUUGGGAACUUCCAAGAAUGUGAAGUCUGCUCAAACAGUCCUCCUGUCCCCAUAAUGUUUCAGAACAAGAACGAUGCCUGGUGGUUGAUUUGGCACAUGAAGAAUGGGAGGAGGAGAGAAGCUGGGGAUUAUUUUCUUCUGGGUGUUGAUUUAGAAAUCAAUUACUGGACUGCUCACUUCAACCAAAGUGGUAGAGUCAAUCCUUUGUCCUCAGACAGCCUUGAUCUUCUUGUAGUGCGAAGCAAUUCUUUUAUAAAGCUUGAUGGUUCUGCCUCUCUAUCUGUAAAAUAUUUGGCUAAGUCGAAUAAAGAUAGGAAAAACUGGAUACCUAAUUUUAGAUAGGUUAGAAACCAGUUCACCCCAAACCAUGCCAAAGAUCAAGUCAGAAUAGUUAAUGCUGCGUUAAAAAGUCAGCCUUAGCUGUUUUUCCACCUAGCCACUCCUGUCUUUGGUUUUUCAGGCUCCUCAUAUAAGGCAGCUUCCAAAUGCAGAAUUCCGAAAAGCUGAAUUGUCUCGAUUCCUCCCAAUGUGGCAUAGACUAUAAGGAAUUGAGAACGCCAAUAAUCCUAGAGAAACAGAUGGACAUUUUAUUAUUUUUUUUAAGAUUUUAUUUAUUUAUUUGACAGAGAGAGAUCACAAGCAGGCAGAGAGGCAGGCAGAGAGAGAGGAGGAAGCAGGCUCCCCGCUGAGCAGAGAGCCCGAUGCGGGGCUCGAUCCCAGGACCCUGAGAUCAUGACCUGAGCUGAAGGCAGCGGUUUAACCCACUGAGCCACCCAGGCACCCCCGGAUGGACAUUUUAAAUCACAAACAUUUAUGCACAACCCAAAUGAUGCAGUUUUGGAUAAGAUACAGAAAUUGAUCUUGGUCUUCCUUGUGCCCUUCCAUCCUCAUGAGGGAACUUGCCAAGGGCAGGAGAAAAGGAAGGGAGGAAGGAUCCUCUGGGUUGAAAGAUGAAAAAAGCCUGGCAGAAAUGGGUCACCUGUGAAAGGAAAAGUCUCAGUGUUCCCAAGAUUUGCAAAAUGGAUCUGAGCUGAUGUAGCCCUCAUUUCAACCUUGCAAGAUGUCAUAAAAUUACCUUUGGGCAACCUACCAAGUAUUUGAGAUUGGACAAAAAGGGGUUUUGAGAUGAUUUCCCGAACCAUAACAUGAAAAUGUUAUGGCCAAAGGACUCUUCAUCAAAGUUUAAUCUAGCAACCUACAACUUUAAAACAGAAAACAAGACAAAGUGAUUCACAGAUAUUAAGGAAUAGAAAAGAAAGUAGUACCUGGAGGUAAAGAGUAAAGAGAAGUUUAAAAACAAAACAAAACAGAAACAAGACCUGGGUUUAGAAGUUAUGAAAUAAAGGUUGGGAAAAUACAGUUUUGUUUUGUUUUGUUUUUAAAGGAAAGCAUUACAUCAGUUGUUAAAAAUGGCCCAGAAUUUCAGUCAAAUGUUAAAGCAAUCCUUUGGGGCGGG
Molecule: long non-coding RNA, 1775 nt
Organism: Lutra lutra (Eurasian river otter)
Lineage: Eukaryota; Metazoa; Chordata; Mammalia; Carnivora; Mustelidae
Exons: 3
Source: RefSeq, a predicted model, not a curated record